CCAAGAGACCCAUAAUUAUGGAUCUUUCUCAGAACUGGACUCCAAGUUGGUACCAGGUUCAAAGGAGGAAGUAGACUGAUCCAUGCCCUUGAAAGAAUCGCUGUCAGGCCCCUCCCGCGCCCAGCUCCGAGUACGGGAGCCGCUGCCGCCAAGUCCGGACCCAACACCGCGCGCCGCCGACGCCCGCCUGCUCGACGUGCACUCCCGGUACGGUCGGGCCCCGAGCGCACUGCGCGGGAGGGUCAGGAGAGCGAGCUGCCUCCGGCUCGCUAGCUCGGCGCUGUCCCCGAAGGGGUCUCUGCUCCCGGGGAGUCGGGGGGAGGCAGGAUCCGCACGUGGACUCGGAGGUCACCGCACUCUGCUUUUGCUCUAAGUGGGCACCAUGGCCUGUGGUCCGGCUGGGGAACCGAGGUGGCCGCAGCUAUCCUGUGGCUGAAAGCCCGGGUGGAUGCAGAAAGACAAGGAAAUGACAGAUCUAAAGGGUGGGGCAUACCUCCGGGUUUAAAAUAGGCAAACAACGCAGAACUGGAGGUCGGGUUUCCAGAGCCCACCCAGCCUAAAAACCCUCAGCAGUCGCGGGUGAGGGAUAGAGGGAGGGGGUCGAAAACCGCGGAGCGCUGCUUGGGUCGCUUUUUAACCCUGGGACUCUUCAAGAGGUGGACUCCAUGGGGCGGCUACUGCCUGCGGAUUAUAGGGCGCUCUUUGCGCAAAUUACACUUAUUAAGCAGCUGCUGAUGUAUCGGGUGCUACGCAAGGCACGGUGCAUGCAAAGAUGAAGCAGGAAGAGUCUCAGCCCUCCUGCCGAUGGUCUUUUGAGAGCAGGCUAUCUGGUACCGUCCCCUCGUCUUGAGAAAUGGGGGAACCUAAAGCUGGGAGAGGGUUAGGGCAUCUCUGAGGUCACAGAGUGGGUGGCAGAGUUGGGGGAGUAGACCCACUUUCUGCAGUGCUCGUCCCUCACCCGUGCCCCCACGUUGAAGGGAGCGCUGGAUCCCAGGGUUUAGAUUCUGGUGAGGCCAGGUCUAGAAAUAGCAGUGAUUUACACGGAGAGAUCUGAUUCCACCUUAGUGACUCUGGGCUGCCUGCCUGGAAGUCCUCUCGGAUAUUUUUGCCCUUUGGGGUGGUGUCAAGACCAGACGUGGUGCUUCAGGAUGCAACCUGUGAUAAUCUUUCCAGUGAAUGCAGUGCAGGGUUGGAUUAGCAGGGCGAAGGCCCCCUCCCCGACACUGGGAAUGGAGGAUUCCACCAAGUAUCUAUUAACUUUAGGGCUCCAGGCCUCUGCAGCUAUUUUUGCACUUCCUGUACUGACAAAAUUUCCUCAUAUCGGGCCUCACGCCUUUGCAACAUGGAUCACGGCAGAAACCACACGAGGCGCCUCCCUCCCUGUUGGUUAACAGCUCCUUGGGUCUAGUAUUCCGAUUUAAAGUCUGGCUCUGCCCGCGGCCAGGGAGGCUGCCAGCUGGGGCACUAGUUAAGUCUAAAGUCCACCUCGGGGCUCUCUGCCUCGUGGCUCUCUCCCUUGUACCCUAAGAGCAGGACAGUUCCCAAUUAUUUCCGCUCUUGGGCGGGGCUUUCCAGACUGGCGCCUCUGCGCCAGCACCCAGCUCUCGAAAGCCGCGGUCUGUAGGCUCUACUCUUGUCCCCGCCCAGCGCUCGAAAUGAGCAUGCGCGCAAGUGUCGCGCCGGGCUGGGUG
This 1691-nucleotide long non-coding RNA is filed under the name Lynx canadensis (Canada lynx). RNAcentral describes it as "lncRNA (ENSLCNG00005017014.1)". Lineage: Eukaryota; Metazoa; Chordata; Mammalia; Carnivora; Felidae. The record is from RNAcentral.